Molecule: long non-coding RNA, 201 nt
Filed under: Elaeis guineensis (African oil palm)
Lineage: Eukaryota; Viridiplantae; Streptophyta; Magnoliopsida; Arecales; Arecaceae
Description: long non-coding RNA (EGUI_LNC082631)
Source: RNAcentral
AUCGGACAGAGGUCAGAUUGGUCACUUCUUUGCAAGGCUAUGUUGUAGCAGCGUCUGGCCAGGGCUUGGUCUCCCCUGACUUCUCCAACCUCCUGGUUGGUAGAGAAUUUCAAUUUCAAAUGGUAGGUUGACACCAUGGCCCGGAGAGCAUUGAGGCCAGGCCGGCCGAGGAUUGCAUUGUAGGCUAACGACACCUUCACC